This 251-nucleotide ribosomal RNA is filed under the name uncultured prokaryote. RNAcentral's name for it is "partial 16S ribosomal RNA". It matches the Rfam family "Bacterial small subunit ribosomal RNA", at positions 524 to 774 of the family's 1533-position model. The record is from RNAcentral.
UACGGAGGAUGCAAGCGUUAUCCGGAUUCAUUGGGUUUGAAGGGUGCGUAGGCGGGCUAUUAAGUCAGUGGUGAAAUCCUGCAGCUUAACUGCAGAACUGCCGUUGAUACUGAUAGUCUUGAGUUUGGUUAAGGUAGGCGGAAUGUGUAAUGUAGCGGUGAAAUGCUUAGAUAUUACACAGAACACCAAUUGCGUAGGCAGCUUACUGAGCCGACACUGACGCUGAGGCACGAAAGCGUGGGGAUCAAACA